ACUAGUUUAGUAAAAUAUAUUAUAUUGCUUUGAUAUGGCAAAGUUCCAUAGGAUCUAGUA
This 60-nucleotide transfer RNA is filed under the name Strongyloides procyonis. Its description in RNAcentral is "tRNA-Ile". Lineage: Eukaryota; Metazoa; Nematoda; Chromadorea; Rhabditida; Strongyloididae. The record is from RNAcentral.